GUCAAGAUUUAACUGAAGGACCACAUUGUGAAUAUUGUCAAACUGGUUAUUUUGGAAACCCCAGAAAUGGAGGAAAUUGUUCAGUUUGUGAAUGUAAUGAGCAGGCUGAUUUAUGUGAUCGUGAAUCAGGUAAAUGUCACUGUAGAACGAGA
RNA transcript from Patella vulgata (common limpet), 152 nucleotides. RefSeq lists it as uncharacterized. Lineage: Eukaryota; Metazoa; Mollusca; Gastropoda; Patellidae. The record is from RefSeq and is a predicted model, not a curated record. The transcript is spliced from 3 exons.